Pangasianodon hypophthalmus (striped catfish) is the source of this 1313-nucleotide long non-coding RNA. RefSeq lists it as uncharacterized. The transcript is spliced from 3 exons. The record is from RefSeq and is a predicted model, not a curated record. Lineage: Eukaryota; Metazoa; Chordata; Actinopteri; Siluriformes; Pangasiidae.
CAGACACAAGCACAUGAUAUAAAAUCAAAAGAAAAGCAACCAGCGCUUGCCAUGGUGGGGAGCAUGCUGCACACUGACAGUGACAGGUGCUAGAGCUGUGAAACAAGUGGUCAAGUGAUGCCGCAUUUAAAUAAUGCUUCAAGUGACAAGACAGUGGCAAAACAUCCCAUCAAAUGCCAGGAGCUUGAAGUUAAGUGUCACCUGGAACAUUAACCUGUCUAUCUUGCACUUGUUUCUGGUCAACUGGGAUACCUAUAUGUCUGUCAGCACUAUUAAGAGCAUGACAAGUGAAAAGCAUCUGUCAAAUGCAUUAAUCCCAGCAAUGUACCAGAUUAAGCUUAAUCUAAACCUGGUUAGAACUGCUUACAAAAUGUAAUGCUUCCAACAUGAUAUGUACCUUUUGUUCCAGUCAUGUAAUAUCAUACAUGAUCCAGAGAAGCACUGCUUGUUUCUUUGACAGGUGUAUUAAUACAUAAUCCUAGAGCGUAUGUGCAGUUCUCAGCUACAUACCUACAGUACAUACAUAAUAGGUUUGAGUUACUGACUCAAAAUUUCAGAACUCAGUGUGGAUACAUAUACUGAUGCUGUCCUUGCCUAAAUUACAGCCCAUUAGACUCAUUACUUAGCAUUAAUCAAGAUAACACACACAUUCUGAAUUGGCAUGGCUUCCUUGGGGAGUCUUAGCUAUUAAGUGAGUGCAGAUUGUGUGUUUAAACUCUGAACCUGCUGAUUGCAAAUCAGGAUUGAACCACCCAGUCAGAACUCAUGGUGAUAAGGUGAACCUGUGUUACAUAAUCUCCUACUGCUGCACAUUUUCCCAAUUAUGUUUAUGGGGACAUUCGAAAUGGAAACCAUCAGUUUUUACAGCUUAAUUAAACCUGAAAAGUUAAUCUGCCUUAGAUUUGUAUUUUAUUUACAUAAUCGUUUUAAUUUAACCAAGUUCACGGGGAGGGAAAUCCAUUAAGGCCUCAUUCCACUGGCAGAGAUAAAGUUAUUAUUCAGGUUGAAGUCUUCCUGCCCUAAUUAUAUCAUCCGGUCUGCCAUGAAUAUUUCCAUGCAGAUGUAAGACCCAAACACUAUUAUGUGUGUUUAUGUCCAGCCGCCGGCUGAUAAAAUCAGCAAUACAAGAAUAUAUUUACAUAUAAAUAAAAAAUAGAUCCAAUUAAACUGAGGUUUAUUGCCCUGGCUGUACAUCACUGUCCAUGGAAAUGGGCAGGUAAUAACACUGCCAGUUUAGUGACAGAUAUUCAAAUGGUAAUCAGAAUAAAUGCAAGAAUUAUUUAUGCUGUAACCUUUUUGAGAAUGUGACUCAA